RNAcentral lists this long non-coding RNA (214 nucleotides) under Capsicum annuum. Its description in RNAcentral is "long non-coding RNA (CANN_LNC010700)". Lineage: Eukaryota; Viridiplantae; Streptophyta; Magnoliopsida; Solanales; Solanaceae. The record is from RNAcentral.
CUAAAAUAAGGGUGACUCAACUAGAGGUUGUGUACAACACGUGUACUACGAACUUGUUGCAGAAAGAAGGACGGGGGGUGGACUCAUGAUGACAGAUAUAAUGCGGUAACACAUAGGAUAAAUACUAUAAACAAAGAGCACGAAAAAAGCACAAAAGUGAAAAUAACACGAACAAUAACCACAAACAGUGCUUAUACAUUCGUAAUACCAAACA